RNAcentral lists this ribosomal RNA (443 nucleotides) under uncultured bacterium. RNAcentral describes it as "partial 16S ribosomal RNA". It matches the Rfam family "Bacterial small subunit ribosomal RNA", at positions 338 to 795 of the family's 1533-position model. The record is from RNAcentral.
CCUACGGGGGGCUGCAGUGGGGAAUAUUGGGCAAUGGGCGCAAGCCUGAACCAGCAACGCCGCGUGAAGGAAGAAGGCUUUCGGGUUGUAAACUUCCUUUCUGAGGGACGAAGAAAGUGACGGUACCUCAGGAAUAAGCCACGGCUAACUACGUGCCAGCAGCCGCGGGAAUACGUAGGUGGCAAGCGUUAUCCGGAUUUAUUGGGUGUAAAGGGCGGGUAGGCGGGAAAGCACGUCAGAUGUGAAAACUCAGGGCUCAACCCUGGGCCUGCAUUUGAAACUGUUUUUCUUGAGUGCUGGAGAGGCAAUCGGAAUGCCGGGUGUAGCGGUGAAAUGCGUAGAGAUACGGAGGAACACCAGUGGCGAAGGCGGAUUGCUGGACAGUAACUGACGCUGAGGCGCGAAAGCGUGGGGAGCAAACAGGAUUAGAUACCCUUGUAGUC